UUGGCGUCUUUAUUAGGUAGCUAUAGGUUUAGAAAACAUCAUAACUAACUAGAAUGAGGAAUUACAGAAGUGGACUUAGUUUAAUAUUAAUAAGUUUGUUUUUCUUACCUUUUGUAUAAUGGUUAAACUAGUAUAAAAUUAGAUAGUUAUUCCCGAAUUAAGAAGAGCUAAUUACUAACUUUUAUUAGAAUAUAACAAUUAUGUGGAAAUAUGGUUUUAAGAUUGGUAAUUAGGAGCGAAAUACUUUCAAUUCUUAGGGUAUCUGGAAACUCCUGAAAAGCAUUUAGUGCUGAAAAUUUAACCAUGAAGUGUUUAGAUUUUAUGGGUGGUAGGAUUAGGGGGGUAUAUUGUGUGUUUCUAGGGUUAAACUCCGAGUUCAUUUUUAGCUAUAAUAAAUUAAUUUCCCGAUCUGUCUAUAACAGUAGGGAGUCUUCUUAGAUAAUUUUUUCUUAGUGUGAUAAUGUUUAAAUUAGUAAUAAAUAUUUAUUAGAUCAGCGGUGUUUAUCGGAAACAGAAUAGAUAUAUGUUGGUAGAAAAUAACUUGAAGGAAUUCGGCAAAAAUAGACUUGGACUGUUUAACAAAAACAUAGCUACAAGCUUAUAUUUGUGGUUAAACCUGCCCAAUGUAAAAAAAAUGAAUGGCCGCGGUACUCUGACCGUGCUAAGGUAGCGUAAUCAGUUGGCUUUUAAAUGGAGUCGGGAAUGAAUGGAUUAACCGGGUCUAGCUGUCUCUGGGUUAUUAUUUUGAAUUUACUGUCUAAGUGAAAAAGCUUAGAGCUAGAAAAGGGACGAGAAGACCCUUAGAAUUUUCUUCUAAAAAUGGUGUGUUCUUAUUAGAAUUUGCUUUUAAUGAUUUUAUUGGGGCGAUAGAGAAAUAUUUUACAACUUUCUUAUAUUUACAUGCCGACUAUAUUAAGACAGGAUAAAUUACCUGAGGGAUAACAGCAUAAUUCUAAAAGUGAGUUUGUGACCUCGAUGUUGGACUAGGAAACUAGCAAGCUAGGCGUUUGUUGUGUGGGUUCUGUUCGAACUUUAAAUCCUACAUGAUCUGAGUUCAGACCGGCGUAAGCCAGGUCAGAUUCUAUCUUUUUAUGUUAUGGCUUUAGUACGAAAGGACCGGGUUGUAUUAUAGAUAUAAAUUUAAUUGGCUUGGCAGAAGAAAGUGCGC
RNAcentral lists this ribosomal RNA (1168 nucleotides) under Tritonia iocasica. RNAcentral's name for it is "16S ribosomal RNA". The stretch from base 525 to 775 matches the Rfam family "Archaeal large subunit ribosomal RNA", at positions 1784 to 2143 of the family's 2987-position model. The record is from RNAcentral. Lineage: Eukaryota; Metazoa; Mollusca; Gastropoda; Nudibranchia; Tritoniidae.